RNAcentral lists this ribosomal RNA (253 nucleotides) under uncultured bacterium. Its description in RNAcentral is "partial 16S ribosomal RNA". It matches the Rfam family "Bacterial small subunit ribosomal RNA", at positions 524 to 776 of the family's 1533-position model. The record is from RNAcentral.
UACAGGGGAUGCAAGUGUUAUCCGGAAUUAUUGGGCGUAAAGCGUCUGCAGGUUGAUAUUUCAGUCUUUUGUUAAAUUUUUGAGCUUAACUUAAAAUCUGCAAAAGAAACUAUUUAUCUUGAGUAUGGUAGGGGUAGAAGGAAUUUCCAGUGGAGCGGUGAAAUGCGUAGAGAUUGGAAAGAACACCGAAAGCGAAGGCAUUCUACUGGGCCAUCACUGACACUCAGAGACGAAAGCUAAGGGAGCAAACAGG